UACUCCUACGGGAGGCAGCAGUGGGGAAUAUUGCGCAAUGGGCGAAAGCCUGACGCAGCGACGCCGCGUGAGGGAAGAAGGCCUUCGGGUCGUAAACCUCUGUCUGGAGGAAAGAAACCCAUGGGUUCGAAUAAAAUCCAUGGCUGACG
Molecule: ribosomal RNA, 149 nt
Filed under: Azospirillum brasilense
Lineage: Bacteria; Pseudomonadati; Pseudomonadota; Alphaproteobacteria; Rhodospirillales; Azospirillaceae
Also listed under: 1 other name
Description: partial 16S ribosomal RNA
Rfam family: Bacterial small subunit ribosomal RNA
Source: RNAcentral